GACGAACGCUGGCGGCGUGCUUAACACAUGCAAGUCGAACGGCAAGGCCCUGCUUUUGUGGGGUGCCCGAGUGGCGAACGGGUGCGUAACACGUGAGUAACCUGCCCUUGACUUUGGGGUAACUUCAGGAAACUGGGGCUACUACCGGAUAGGAUCUCCUGCUGCAUGGUGGGGGUUGGAAAGUUUCGGCGGUUGGGGAUGGACUCGCGGCUUAUCAGCUUGUUGGUGGGGUAGUGGCUUACCAAGGCUUUGACGGGUAGCCGGCCUGAGAGGGUGACCGGCGACAUGGGGACUGAGAUACGGCGCAGACUCCUACAGGAGGCAGCAGUGGGGAGUAUUGCACAAUGGGCGCAAGUCUGAUGCAGCAACGCCGCGUGCGGGAUGACGGCCUGCGGGUUGUAAACCGCUUUCGCCUGUGACGAAGCGUGAGUGACGGUAAUGGGUAAAGAAGCACCGGCUAACUACGUG
RNAcentral lists this ribosomal RNA (468 nucleotides) under uncultured bacterium. RNAcentral describes it as "partial 16S ribosomal RNA". It matches the Rfam family "Bacterial small subunit ribosomal RNA", at positions 28 to 507 of the family's 1533-position model. The record is from RNAcentral.